Molecule: ribosomal RNA, 1726 nt
Filed under: Salmonella enterica subsp. salamae str. 3588/07
Lineage: Bacteria; Pseudomonadati; Pseudomonadota; Gammaproteobacteria; Enterobacterales; Enterobacteriaceae
Description: bacterial LSU rRNA
Rfam family: Bacterial large subunit ribosomal RNA
Source: RNAcentral
UCAUUUAAAGAAAGCGUAAUAGCUCACUGGUCGAGUCGGCCUGCGCGGAAGAUGUAACGGGGCUAAACCAUGCACCGAAGCUGCGGCAGCGACACUGUGUGUUGUUGGGUAGGGGAGCGUUCUGUAAGCCUGUGAAGGUGGCCUGUGAGGGUUGCUGGAGGUAUCAGAAGUGCGAAUGCUGACAUAAGUAACGAUAAAGCGGGUGAAAAGCCCGCUCGCCGGAAGACCAAGGGUUCCUGUCCAACGUUAAUCGGGGCAGGGUGAGUCGACCCCUAAGGCGAGGCCGAAAGGCGUAGUCGAUGGGAAACGGGUUAAUAUUCCCGUACUUGGUGUUACUGCGAAGGGGGGACGGAGAAGGCUAUGUUGGCCGGGCGACGGUUGUCCCGGUUUAAGCGUGUAGGCUGACUUUCCAGGCAAAUCCGGAGAGUCAAGGCUGAGGCGUGACGACGAGGCACCUACGGUGCUGAAGCAACAAAUGCCCUGCUUCCAGGAAAAGCCUCUAAGCAUCAGGUAACAUCAAAUCGUACCCCAAACCGACACAGGUGGUCAGGUAGAGAAUACCAAGGCGCUUGAGAGAACUCGGGUGAAGGAACUAGGCAAAAUGGUGCCGUAACUUCGGGAGAAGGCACGCUGACACGUAGGUGAAGUGGAUUUACUCAUGGAGCUGAAGUCAGUCGAAGAUACCAGCUGGCUGCAACUGUUUAUUAAAAACACAGCACUGUGCAAACACGAAAGUGGACGUAUACGGUGUGACGCCUGCCCGGUGCCGGAAGGUUAAUUGAUGGGGUCAGCGCAAGCGAAGCUCCUGAUCGAAGCCCCGGUAAACGGCGGCCGUAACUAUAACGGUCCUAAGGUAGCGAAAUUCCUUGUCGGGUAAGUUCCGACCUGCACGAAUGGCGUAAUGAUGGCCAGGCUGUCUCCACCCGAGACUCAGUGAAAUUGAACUCGCUGUGAAGAUGCAGUGUACCCGCGGCAAGACGGAAAGACCCCGUGAACCUUUACUAUAGCUUGACACUGAACAUUGAGCCUUGAUGUGUAGGAUAGGUGGGAGGCUUUGAAGCGUGGACGCCAGUCUGCGUGGAGCCGGACCUUGAAAUACCACCCUUUAAUGUUUGAUGUUCUAACGUGGACCCGUGAUCCGGGUUGCGGACAGUGUCUGGUGGGUAGUUUGACUGGGGCGGUCUCCUCCUAAAGAGUAACGGAGGAGCACGAAGGUUGGCUAAUCCUGGUCGGACAUCAGGAGGUUAGUGCAAUGGCAUAAGCCAGCUUGACUGCGAGCGUGACGGCGCGAGCAGGUGCGAAAGCAGGUCAUAGUGAUCCGGUGGUUCUGAAUGGAAGGGCCAUCGCUCAACGGAUAAAAGGUACUCCGGGGAUAACAGGCUGAUACCGCCCAAGAGUUCAUAUCGACGGCGGUGUUUGGCACCUCGAUGUCGGCUCAUCACAUCCUGGGGCUGAAGUAGGUCCCAAGGGUAUGGCUGUUCGCCAUUUAAAGUGGUACGCGAGCUGGGUUUAGAACGUCGUGAGACAGUUCGGUCCCUAUCUGCCGUGGGCGCUGGAGAACUGAGGGGGGCUGCUCCUAGUACGAGAGGACCGGAGUGGACGCAUCACUGGUGUUCGGGUUGUCAUGCCAAUGGCACUGCCCGGUAGCUAAAUGCGGAAGAGAUAAGUGCUGAAAGCAUCUAAGCACGAAACUUGCCCCGAGAUGAGUUCUUCCCUGAGACUUUGA